GUCUUGAAACACGGACCAAGGAGUCUAACAUCUAUGCGAGUGUUUGGGUGUCAAACCCAUACGCGUAAUGAAAGUGAACGGAGGUGAGAACCCUUAAGGGUGCAUCAUCGACCGAUCCUGAUGUCUUCGGAUGGAUUUGAGUAAGAGCAUAGCUGUUGGGACCCGAAAGAUGGUGAACUAUGCGUGAAUAGGGUGAAGCCAGAGGAAACUCUGGUGGAGGCUCGCAGCGGUUCUGACGUGCAAAUCGAUCGUCAAAUUUGCGCAUAGGGGCGAAAGACUAAUCGAACCAUCUAGUAGCUGGUUCCUGCCGAAGUUUCCCUCA
Molecule: ribosomal RNA, 322 nt
Filed under: Rommelaarsia flavovirens
Lineage: Eukaryota; Fungi; Ascomycota; Leotiomycetes; Helotiales
Description: LSU rRNA
Rfam family: Eukaryotic large subunit ribosomal RNA
Source: RNAcentral